CUGCUGCCUCCCGUAGGAGUCUGGGCCGUGUCUCAGUCCCAGUGUGGCCGUCCGCCCUCUCAGGUCGGCUACUGAUCGUUGCCUUGGUGAGCCGUUACCUCUCCAACUAGCUAAUCAGACGCGGGUCCAUCUCAUACCACCUCAGUUUUUCACACCAAACCAUGCGGUUUUGUGCGCUUAUGCGGUAUUAGCAGUCAUUUCUAACUGUUAUCCCCCUGUAUGAGGCAGGUUACCCACGCGUUACUCACCCGUCCG
This 255-nucleotide ribosomal RNA is filed under the name uncultured bacterium. Its description in RNAcentral is "partial 16S ribosomal RNA". The record is from RNAcentral.